Molecule: ribosomal RNA, 253 nt
Filed under: uncultured bacterium
Lineage: Bacteria
Description: partial 16S ribosomal RNA
Rfam family: Bacterial small subunit ribosomal RNA
Source: RNAcentral
UACGUAGGGGGCUAGCGUUGUCCGGAUUUAUUGGGCGUAAAGAGCGUGUAGGCGGCCAGGUAGGUCUGCUGUGAAAACUCGAGGCUUAACCUCGAGACGUCGGUGGAAACCAUCUGGCUAGAGUCCGGAAGAGGAGAGUGGAAUUCCCGGUGUAGCGGUGAAAUGCGCAGAUAUCGGGAAGAACACCCGUGGCGAAAGCGGCUCUCUGGGACGGUACUGACGCUGAGACGCGAAAGCGUGGGGAGCGAACAGG